CCGCCAUGGCGGCCGCGGGAAUUCGAUUAGAGUUUGAUCCUGGCUCAGGACGAACGCUGGCGGCGUGCUUAACACAUGCAAGUCGAACGAUGAACCACUUCGGUGGGGAUUAGUGGCGAACGGGUGAGUAACACGUGGGCAAUCUGCCCUGCACUCUGGGACAAGCCCUGGAAACGGGGUCUAAUACCGGAUACUGAUCCUCGCAGGCAUCUGCGAGGUUCGAAAGCUCCGGCGGUGCAGGAUGAGCCCGCGGCCUAUCAGCUAGUUGGCGAGGUAACGGCUCACCAAGGCGACGACGGGUAGCCGGCCUGAGAGGGCGACCGGCCACACUGGGACUGAGACACGGCCCAGACUCCUACGGGAGGCAGCAGUGGGGAAUAUUGCACAAUGGGCGAAAGCCUGAUGCAGCGACGCCGCGUGAGGGAUGACGGCCUUCGGGUUGUAAACCUCUUUCAGCAGGGAAGAAGCGAAAGUGACGGUACCUGCAGUAAGAAGCGCCGGCUAACUACGUGCCAGCAGCCGCCGGGUAAUACGUAUGGCGCAAGCGUUGUCCGGAAUUAUUGGGCGUAAAAGAGCUCGUAAGCGGCUUGUUACGUCGGUUGUGAAAAGCCCCGGGGCUUAACCCCGGGUUCUCAUCUAAUACGCAGCAUAUUCCGGUAGGGGGAGAUCCGGAAUUCCUGGUGUUAUCGGUGAAAUGCUU
This 700-nucleotide ribosomal RNA is filed under the name Streptomyces qinlingensis. RNAcentral's name for it is "partial 16S ribosomal RNA". It matches the Rfam family "Bacterial small subunit ribosomal RNA", at positions 1 to 691 of the family's 1533-position model. Lineage: Bacteria; Bacillati; Actinomycetota; Actinomycetes; Kitasatosporales; Streptomycetaceae. The record is from RNAcentral.